GUGAACCUGCGGAAGGAUCAUUGUCGCGAGUCAGAGCCACCGGCUAACCAGUUAUGUCGCUCCAGCUCCUCGGGGCGCACCUCUGAGGUCGUGAGCCUGCAUGUCCUGGCCGUAGUUCCCUGCAUGUUUGGGGUCGGCCGAGCGGCGGUGGGGCCUGGGGGGUCGCGUGAUCGAGCGAGCAGACACCUUUCGGGCGCGGCGUGCGCCAAGGAAUUGAAGCGGAUUGAGCGGCGUCCUCUCCCGUUGCCCGGCUCGCCCUCUGUAGAGCGUAGUCCGUGGCUUGCCAUGGGGACUCGACCCGCGUCUCUUAAUUGAAUACGACUCUCGGCAACGGAUAUCUCGGCUCUCGCAUCGAUGAAGAACGUAGCGAAAUGCGAUACUUGGUGUGAAUUGCAGAAUCCCGUGAACCAUCGAGUCUUUGAACGCAAGUUGCGCCCGAGGCCACUCGGCCGAGGGCACGUCUGCCUGGGCGUCACGCCACCCAUCGCUCCCCCGUGGCUGCCGGUGCGGUCCGGGGUGAUGCGGAGAUUGGCCGUCCGUGCCCCUCCUGGGGUGCGGUUGGCCCAAAAAUCUGGUCACGGUGCGGGUACGGCACGGCGUGUGGUGGUUUAGAGGCGACUCGUCGCUGCUCUCGCGUCGUGCCUGCCGCCCCGCCGCGCAUAGUGCAAGGGACCCAACUCGCCCGCUCCGGCGGGUGCUCGAACUGCGACCCCAGGUCAGGCGGGGCCACCCGCU
Molecule: ribosomal RNA, 735 nt
Filed under: Monimia ovalifolia
Lineage: Eukaryota; Viridiplantae; Streptophyta; Magnoliopsida; Laurales; Monimiaceae
Also listed under: 1 other name
Description: eukaryotic LSU rRNA
Rfam family: 5.8S ribosomal RNA (bases 320-475)
Source: RNAcentral